GGUUUUCUGCAUUGCAGGCAGAUUCUUUACCGUCUGAGCCGCCAGGGAAGCCCGACAGGCAUGGAAGAGGGUGUUAUUUUAAUCCCACAUUAUGAAUGAGGAAACUGGAGUUGAGGGUUAACUGACUUGCCCGAGAUUCCAAGAGACUGGGUGUAGAGAAGAUGCUUCUGGCCGCACCUGAAUGAGGGCAAAGCCAGACGACAAGAUAACAAACAGCCCCAGUUUGUGCUGUGACUCAGCCCCCACCAGCUGGAUUGCAGCAACCCCAGCUCCUUGCCUGCCUCUGACUCAGAUGAAGGACAUCCUUGUCCCGUGGAACAUCUGGCUCCCAGGUCCUGAGCCUCGGCAGAGGGAUGGUGGUUCCUCUCAUUACCAGUUUUUCACCGUGGUCUCAGCAGUUCCUUUGCGGCAGGCAGCCUGCUUGCUGUUUCUAGAACUGAGCCAAACCCAGCCCCCUCCGACCCGGCCUCCUUACCUCUUUGCUUCCCCACUGGCUGCAUGAGGAGCCCACGCAGGGAAGGAAGAAUGCCCAAGUGACGAGCCAGGUCAUACCCCAUCACAGGCUGGCUAGAUUGCUGUAUAUGGUUUUAAGUCCCCUGCAGACCAAGGCCAAGAAACGAGGUCCAGCCUCCUCUGCCCUUCUCAGGUCACACGAGGGACAAGCCCACAGGGCAUCCAUCGCAGCCCCUCUUGCUUUGGCAGUGGCCACCUUUACCCCUCCCAGGCCCUGUCCCCAGAGCUCAAUCAGCAGAUCCAUCUCCACACUCUAUGUUUUCCAUUAGAUUUCUCCCACAAUAGUCUCGUCCUUGGACUUCCCAGGUGGCACUAGCAGUAAAGAAACUGCCCGCCAGUGCUGGAGAUGGAAGAGACACAGAUCAGAGAACAGAAUGCAGCCUCGAGAUGAGAUGGCUUGUCCAGCAUCACACAGAAGAUAGGACCCAGUGUGUGUUCAUGCAUGUUAAGUCAAUUCAGUCAUGUCCAGCUCUUUGUGACCCCGUGGACUGUAGCCCACAGGCUCCUCUGUCCGUGGAAUUCUCCAGGCAAGAACACUGGAGUAGGUUUCUGUGCCCUCCUCCAGGGGCUCCUCGUGACCCAGGGAUCAAACCCAUGUCUCUUGCUUUGGCAGUUGUGUUAUUUACCACUUUCAGUACCUGGGAAGCCCAGGAGGUCCCAGAGUGGGGCUUCUCUAUGCUGUACAUCAGAGUUUCGACCUCGGCACUAUGGAUGUUUUGAGUGGAAUAAUUAUUUGUUUUGGAGGGCUGUCCUGUACAUCGAAGCAUGUGUAGCAACAUCCCUGGCUUCUACUCACUACACGUCAGCAGCACGCCUCUCCCCACUUUGGGGUAACCAGAAACGUCUUCAGUCAUUGCUAAGUGUUCUCUGGGGGGUAAAAUCAGCUCUAGCUGAGAGCCCUUUCAGAUCCAUUGAACAGCAUGAAGCUGGUGCUGAGUUUUCUCCUGGCAGUUUGGGAGGGAAACUGGCCUUGGGUCCAAGAGGAGAAAGCCUUUCCUCCCAAUUGUACCAUCCCAGUACCUUGGGGAGAGCUAUCUGGGGCCCCUGAUCUCAGCCAAGAGAGGACAGCUCUCAGAGAGGCGGGGAAAGGGGUCCGAGGGCACGCAGCAGGGCAGCCAGGCCUUCUGAGAGUGUGUGUCACUCCCCCAUCUCACAGAUGGUCAGCGGGUCAGCAGCGCACAUAGAACCGAGUGUGGUUUCUCCUCCACACGCCAUAAGGAGCCCCCGACAGUAUGCAGGCUGUGUGCGCUGAGCCCGAAAGCAGUAACAUCAGAGGGCUCCGCCUGUGUGCUCUUUGUUAGUUACAGGAGGCGUGUAUUAAUAUGAAGCUGUGUUCUGGAAAGUUGGGUCUGGCCUUGGCCCUGACUCUUACCUGACAUGGGACCCAAAGCAAUGUCUUUUGAGGAUUUUUGUCC
Molecule: long non-coding RNA, 1928 nt
Organism: Bos taurus (domestic cattle)
Lineage: Eukaryota; Metazoa; Chordata; Mammalia; Artiodactyla; Bovidae
Source: Ensembl